CAAGACAUAUGUCGAGGUUCGCGUGUGAUGAAAAUAUUAAGCAAAAGUGGAUUUCAGCUUGCAUGCGGUUGCAUUUUCAGGGCCGUUUUGCAUGCUGUUCAUACCCUUUUUUUUCUUCCAUUAUGUGUAUAUAUAUACUGAAUAUAUACUGAAAAUAUACUGAAUGCGAGUACGCGUUGACAAUAAAUCGAAAACUAUAGAGGUGCUACCGUUAAAAAUCGUUAAAAGUCAAACCCAAACACACAGACAACGCGAAGACCACGAAGCAAGUGGAUAGUGGAGUAGGCAAAAGUGAAAGAGAAAAUAGAGAGAACGCGAAACGUAACGCAACAAGGCAAUAAACAGUGAGUAAAGCAACCGCUGAAACGACGUGCGACGCGUCGAAAUAAAAGUGUGUAUUAAAAAACCUCAAUAGCACCCACAUUACGACGAGAAAACUCAAACGACAAAACCAUAGUUGAAUUGAGUGAGAAUAAUAUAUAUAUAUAUAUAGAGAGAGAGAGAGAGAGAGAGAGUAAAUACACCGCUACAAUGUCGGAAGAAGUAGAUCGCAACGAUCCCGAGCUGAAAUACCUUUCGGUGGAACG
Molecule: long non-coding RNA, 587 nt
Organism: Drosophila miranda
Lineage: Eukaryota; Metazoa; Arthropoda; Insecta; Diptera; Drosophilidae
Exons: 2
Source: RefSeq, a predicted model, not a curated record